AAGCCGGAACCGGACAGUGAGAGUGUGAAAACGAGUGUACAGCCGCCAGCUUCGCCAGAUUCUGAUGAGAUCGGGCUGUUGAACGUGAGACCUCCGCCUUCGCCGGUUUCCGUCACGCAAAAAUGGCCUAGCACUAGGUCUACUUCACCUAAUGCUAGUGCGUGACAGUUUUCUUUUUUUGUGUGUUACUUUUCAGUAUAAAGAAUAUAUAUGAAUGCAUUUUAGAUUUGAUUAGGUGGGUAAAAGGGCGAACUCAAGCCAAUAACGCUUCCCGUUUUGCAAGGGUCAAGAGGGGAUAACAUCUAUCGUACAUAACUUUAACUUUCUCUUGUAAAGAUGUUGUUUCUACGACUCGAACUCGUGACAUUUCGGUCAUAAAAGAACAACAUUUCCGUUGUACAAGAGUCGCCAUCAUUGAAAAACACAUCUAAUUAGUACUUCUAGGUAAAAGCUUGAGGGAUUUCACCUAGUGCUAGUGCGUGACAGUUUUCUUUUUUGUGUGUUACUUUUCAGUAUAAAGAAUAUAUAUAUGAAUGCAUUUCAGAUUUGAUUAGGUGGGUAAAAGGGCGAACUCAAGUCAAUAAUGCUCCCCGCUUUGCAAGGGUCAAGAGAGGAUAACAUCUAUCGUACGUAACUUUAACAUUCUCUUGUAAAGAUGUUGUUUCUACGACUCGAACUCAUGACAUUUCGAUCACAAAAGAACAACAUUUCCGUUGUACCAAGACUCGCCAUCAUUGAAAAACACAUCUAAUUAGUACUUCUAGGUAAAAGCUUGAGGGAUUUGUACAUAUUAGAUGGAGACAUUGUUAUUAAUAUUCAUAUUUUAUAUGUAUAAUUUUGAUCCUGUAUCGUUUUGACUCUUCAUACUUGCGUUGAAGUCUAUGUCUUUUUCCUUUCUGCUUCUUCUGAUAUUGUUUAUUAACCAAGUUUUGAUUGUUUGACAUG
RNAcentral lists this long non-coding RNA (945 nucleotides) under Malus domestica (apple). Its description in RNAcentral is "long non-coding RNA (MDOM_LNC011760)". Lineage: Eukaryota; Viridiplantae; Streptophyta; Magnoliopsida; Rosales; Rosaceae. The record is from RNAcentral.